GACGAACGCUGGCGGCGUGCCUAAUACAUGCAAGUUGAGCGCUGAAGGUUGGUACUUGUACCAACUGGAUGAGCAGCGAACGGGUGAGUAACGCGUGGGGAAUCUGCCUUUGAGCGGGGGACAACAUUUGGAAACGAAUGCUAAUACCGCAUAAAAACUUUAAACACAAGUUUUAAGUUUGAAAGAUGCAAUUGCAUCACUCAAAGAUGAUCCCGCGUUGUAUUAGCUAGUUGGUGAGGUAAAGGCGCACCAAGGCGAUGAUACAUAGCCGACCUGAGAAGGUGGUCGGCCACAAUGGGACUGAGACACGGCCCAAACUCCUACGGGAGGCAACAGGAGGGAAUCUUCGGCAAUUGACGAAAGGCUGACCGGGCAACGCCGCGGGGGUGAAGAAGGUUUUCGGAUCGUAAAACUCUGUUGGUAGAGAAGAACGUUGGUGAGAGUGGAAAGCUCAUCAAGUGACGGUAACUACCCAGAAAGGGACGGCUAACUACGUG
This 497-nucleotide ribosomal RNA is filed under the name uncultured bacterium. RNAcentral describes it as "partial 16S ribosomal RNA". It matches the Rfam family "Bacterial small subunit ribosomal RNA", at positions 28 to 507 of the family's 1533-position model. The record is from RNAcentral.